CACGUAGGGUGCGAGCGUUGUCCGGAAUUAUUGGGCGUAAAGAGCUCGUAGGCGGUGUGUCGCGUCGGCCGUGAAAACCUGCAGCUUAACUGUGGGCUUGCGGUCGAUACGGGCAUCACUGGAGUUCGGCAGAGGAGACUGGAAUUUACGGUGUAGCGGUGAAAUGCGUAGAUAUCGUAAGGAAGACCAGUGGCGAAGGCGGGUCUCUGGACAGUUCCUGACGCUGAGGCACGAAGGCCAGGGGAGCAAACGGG
Molecule: ribosomal RNA, 254 nt
Filed under: uncultured bacterium
Lineage: Bacteria
Description: partial 16S ribosomal RNA
Rfam family: Bacterial small subunit ribosomal RNA
Source: RNAcentral